Diabrotica virgifera virgifera (western corn rootworm) is the source of this 1103-nucleotide long non-coding RNA. RefSeq lists it as uncharacterized. NCBI's taxonomy places the organism in Eukaryota, Metazoa, Arthropoda, Insecta, Coleoptera, Chrysomelidae. The transcript is spliced from 2 exons. The record is from RefSeq and is a predicted model, not a curated record.
CGUUACAAACGUCACAUCUUUGAUAUUUUGUUUUUAAAUAAUUAUUUUACCUUAUUUUCUUUAAUAUUUCAUUAAUAAUUAUCUUCUUCUAUUUGGUUUACCCAUUUUCCCCUUUAAAAAUCGGUUGGCGCUCUCUUUUAUUACCCUCUUUUAUUAUCUUCUAUUUAAUAUAUCUCUUUCAUUUAAAUCAUCAUACUGAACAUACCUCGUAUAUUCAUACUCUCCAAAUAUCUGUAUUUUCAAUACGGAACAUGCCGCUACUUCAUAGUACUUGGUUGUCAUUUUAAAUGUCGUUUUCAAUGACAGUGUCACUUCAUCGACUUGACCCCCUACUCCCUGACAUACACUGGAAGGGAAAAAUUAAUCCUUAAAAAGGCAUGUAAUUCGAAAAAUAAAUCAUUUCUAUUUCAUCAAAUCAUCUCUUGGGUUUUUUGGAAAGAAACCACUUUUCUCCCUCCGGGAGUUUCAACAACCCUCAAAUCGCCGGCGAUACAACAACGAGGACCAUGUCAUCAGGGCUGCAACCACAUAACCAAGACUGCAACGACCAACAUCCGUAGGCCUGGUGGAAUACAACACCUACAACCCCAGAGCCCGUUGCAGAACCAGCAGCAGUACCAUACGACAUCAAGAAGAUACCAUCAGCUGCCAAAAGCCAUAAGUGUAAUCCAGAAUUGUUAGUUUUUGGCAAGAAUUUGAAUACAUUUGUUAAUGCAAUUUACUAAGUCAUUUUAUUUAUUAUAUCUUUAUGAACAAUAAACAUGAUUAGUUAAAAACUAUGUUUUGUUUGCUUCCAUUCCAAUUUUCAUAGUUCAUAUCUGAGGUUAGGACAAGACGAACACACACCUGAGUGACUGAGCUAAGCUAAGGGUGUAACGAUGGCUAUCUUGGUUAGUUGAGGUAAUAUUUUCGAAUAUUAUUUCAAUUAGCUGGGUAGUCCAUCGCCUAACUCGUUACACUGGCGCACCAACGCACUUGUCUUAUCCGAAGAAUCGAGCUGUGAAUGUGUGGUUUGGUAGCAGACAACAAGCAUUAAUAAAUACUAUUUUCAUAUAUUUCAUUUUUAUAUUCAAUUUUUGCAGUAAAUCUAUAUAUAUUAUCUA